AUGAAGUAUGACGAGCGAUACACGGAGUAUAUCCGGAAGACCGGGCUUCUCCCUUUCAUCUCACUCGUGUCUCGUUCGAUGCCGAAGAUGAACCCUUGUGAGAUCACGGCACUCGUUGACCGAUGGCGCCCUGAGACACAUACUUUUCACUUCUAUGCUGGGGAGAUGACUGUCACUUUGCAGGAUGUUUCUCUGAUCACUGCACUUUCCAUCAAAGGAGAGCCUAUUUGUUUUAGCACAGAUUCAGAUGGAUGGCGUGAGAUUAUGGUUGGACUCAUUGGGAGGGAGCCAGGGGUAUAA
Molecule: ribosomal RNA, 300 nt
Filed under: Triticum aestivum (bread wheat)
Lineage: Eukaryota; Viridiplantae; Streptophyta; Magnoliopsida; Poales; Poaceae
Description: partial small subunit ribosomal RNA
Source: RNAcentral